UACGUAGGGUGCAAGCGUUGUCCGGAAUUAUUGGGCGUAAAGAGCUCGUAGGCGGUCUGUCGCGUCUGCUGUGAAAACUCAGGGCUUAACCCUGAGCUUGCAGUGGGUACGGGCAGACUAGAGUGCGGCAGGGGAGACUGGAAUUCCUGGUGUAGCGGUGAAAUGCGCAGAUAUCAGGAGGAACACCGGUGGCGAAGGCGGGUCUCUGGGCCGUAACUGACGCUGAGGAGCGAAAGCAUGGGGAGCGAACAGG
RNAcentral lists this ribosomal RNA (253 nucleotides) under uncultured bacterium. RNAcentral's name for it is "partial 16S ribosomal RNA". It matches the Rfam family "Bacterial small subunit ribosomal RNA", at positions 524 to 776 of the family's 1533-position model. The record is from RNAcentral.